Molecule: ribosomal RNA, 253 nt
Filed under: uncultured bacterium
Lineage: Bacteria
Description: partial 16S ribosomal RNA
Rfam family: Bacterial small subunit ribosomal RNA
Source: RNAcentral
UACGGGGGGUGCGAGCGUUGUCCGGAAUCACUGGGCGUAAAGGGCGCGUAGGUGGUUUGAUAAGGGUGUGGUGAAAGUCCGGAGCUCAACUCCGGAUCUGCCGUGCCGACUGUCAAACUCGAGGGCUGUAGAGGCAGACGGAAUUCCGGGUGUAGCGGUGGAAUGCGUAGAGAUCCGGAGGAAGACCGGUGGCGAAGGCGAUCUGCUGGGCAGUUUCUGACACUGAGGCGCGACAGCGUGGGGAGCAAACAGG